This is a long non-coding RNA of Phyllostomus hastatus (greater spear-nosed bat), 1700 nucleotides long. RefSeq lists it as uncharacterized. The record is from RefSeq and is a predicted model, not a curated record. NCBI's taxonomy places the organism in Eukaryota, Metazoa, Chordata, Mammalia, Chiroptera, Phyllostomidae. The transcript is spliced from 3 exons.
GCUAAUUUUAUCCGGCUCCCGCUCAGCAGGAAACCAAUGUUGAGGAAAGCCUAGUUCUUUAGGGUGGCUCUGGCCCUGCCGAAGCCACUCAAGGGGCCAUGAAGAAGGGAAAUGCUGUGGCCUCCGUUCCAGAAGAGGUGCGGUCGUCUUCUCCUGCUCCAAAGGCGCUGAGACCUCUGCUCUGUAGUGCCGAGACUGGAGCUGCUUCUGAGGCCUAGCUCCUUCCCACAAGGAGCCAGACUGACCAGCUUGCUGAGGAUGAAUGAGACCAACCACUGGAGAGGUUCCGAAAGGGUUUGGAGCUGCUUCCCUGGGAGGACUGAGCAGGUUCCAGCUACAGAGAAGCAGAGAAGCAACUAACCUGGGUCAGAAGAAAUUUACUUCCCUCUGUCCACCCCCACUGAAGGCACUUUUGACUCUAAUUAGAACUUGUGUAUCUGUCUCCUCCCUUCUUCAAUCCUUUACAAUCAAUUUUGUAAUAUGUUUUGGCAAGAUGAGAAAUGAUAAUGGAACAAAAUAGAAUGAAGACUUCUGCUCUAUCCAGAACUCCUGAAGAUACUGAAUACCAAUCUGAACUCUCUGGAGGGUCAGUUGGCCCUAGAGAUAGGGGACAAUAAUAGUGAGGAUUUGAAGAAAAAGGAGUGCAACUGACCAGGACAUUUUUGGAUACUAUCGGAUAAGACCUGCUACGAUACUAUCUCUUUGGCUGGGGUCCUGGGGCUUUGAAAAGAAGAGGUGUGGAAAUGACAAAAAGGGUUUCAUAGCAGCUGUCUUACUGCAAAAAUCCAGAGGUGAUGGCUUCCAUACUUUUGAGUGCUCCAUAAAAAGUCACCCUUCCCCCAGAAAGUGGAAAACAAGAUAGGGGAGAAAGGGGAAAAUGGAAGAGAUGUCUCUGUGAGAUGUGUAGAAUUGGGCCUGAGACCCAGGCUGGAGUUGGGCCUGUACAACAUCCAAAAGCCCAGUUGUUCCUCUAAUUAAGCAAGGGAAAGAAAGAAAAAGGGAGAACAAUGCUGGAGGAAGAAAGGGGCUAUAUCUAGCAAAGGUGGUACAAAUGAUGUACCAUGGUGGAUGGAGAAGCCAAGAAAAUAUGUGGUCAGGACAGCCAAUUUUAUUCCUUCUUCUCCUACCAACCUCAGAAACUGGAGCAAAGUAUAGCAUAGAGGAGGGCAAGACUCUCACGGUAAAGAGGCAUGUACUUCCUCAAGUCACCCAAACAGGCUACAUUAGCCACUCACAAAUAGGUGGCUGGUAAUUUCACGUUAGUUACCACAGCACCCAUCUUCAAGGCAGAUGAUUAUAUGUCCCUAGGCUUAGUCCUCUUUUAUCCUUAAAAUGGGAGAAGGCUGGAAUGUCCUAAAUCUUCUUUCCUUUGAGUCCUAAGAGAGAUACAGGAUAAGGAGAGAAUGGAAGCAGAAAGAAACUUUCAAGAAAUGUUUCCAAGCCCCACUGUUGGGAAGCUACAAAGGGGUACAGGCCAAGAUAUAACCAAGGAUGCCAUAUUCUCUUCAUCACUCUCACCUAACAAGUUUUCCAGUCUGAGUCCUUUGCACUAGUCCCCCAUUACCCCUACAGAAGCCCCUGUUACAUUAAACCUGAUCCUAUAAACAGGUGGAAAAAGAUUUUUUCAGAUAAAAUAUUCAUAAUCUAUGGCUUGAGGUGUACAGUUUGUGUGUGUGUGUGUGUGUGUGUGUGUGUGUGUG